RNAcentral lists this ribosomal RNA (487 nucleotides) under uncultured bacterium. RNAcentral describes it as "partial 16S ribosomal RNA". It matches the Rfam family "Bacterial small subunit ribosomal RNA", at positions 30 to 523 of the family's 1533-position model. The record is from RNAcentral.
AUUGAACGCUGGCGGCAUGCCUAACACAUGCAAGUCGAACGGGGCAGCAAUGCCUAGUGGCGGACGGGUGAGGAAUACGUAGGAAUCUGCCCUUAAGUGGGGGAUAACCAGGGGAAACCCUGACUAAUACCGCAUGAUCUCUUCGGAGCAAAGAGGGGGACCGCAAGGCCUCUCGCUUCUGGAUGAGCCUACGUCUGAUUAGCUAGUUGGUAGGGUAAAGGCCUACCAAGGCGACGAUCAGUAACUGGUCUGAGAGGAUGAUCAGUCACACCGGAACUGAGACACGGUCCGGACUCCUACGGGAGGCAGCAGUGGGGAAUAUUGGACAAUGGGCGCAAGCCUGAUCCAGCAAUGCCGCGUGUGUGAAGAAGGCCUUCGGGUUGUAAAGCACUUUAGCCUGGAAAGAAAAAACUUUGGUUAACACCCAAAGCCUUGACGGUACCAGGAGAAUAAGCACCGGCUAACUCUGUGCCAGCCGCCGCAGUAA